Molecule: long non-coding RNA, 298 nt
Organism: Centropristis striata (black sea bass)
Lineage: Eukaryota; Metazoa; Chordata; Actinopteri; Perciformes; Serranidae
Exons: 3
Source: RefSeq, a predicted model, not a curated record
CCGCUACCAGCCCAAACCUCAACCUCUGCAGCCGCAGGCUCCCCAGCAGCCCCGCUACCAGCCCAAACCUCAGCAGCCACAACCUCAUUACCAGCCCAGUGGUAAUUUUGGCUUUCGUCUUCCUGCCGAAGCUGGUUCCAGCACAGGGGGUUCAUCAGGACUGAGUGGGACCCAUUCCAAGUAUGGAAGUAAAGGAGGCUUUGGCUCCAACUGAAGGGAUGUUUCCUUGGAGCUUUCAGCUGAUCGGCCUCAUUGACUUGAUGCUUGUAACUGAAAUAAAAAAUGCAUAUUUUUCUAA